Molecule: ribosomal RNA, 253 nt
Filed under: uncultured bacterium
Lineage: Bacteria
Description: partial 16S ribosomal RNA
Rfam family: Bacterial small subunit ribosomal RNA
Source: RNAcentral
UACGUAGGGUGCAAGCGUUGUCCGGAAUUAUUGGGCGUAAAGAGCUCGUAGGCGGUCUGUCGCGUCUGCUGUGAAAACUCGGGGCUUAACCCCGGGCCUGCAGUGGGUACGGGCAGACUAGAGUGCGGUAGGGGAGACUGGAAUUCCCGGUGUAGUGGUGGAAUGCGUAGAUAUCGGGAGGAACACCAGUGGCGAAGGCGGUUACCUGGAGCUUUGCUGACGCUGAUGCGCGAAAGCGUGGGGAGCGAUCCGG